CACGAGCGGAAUGCACAGUCCCCGACCGUGUUAGUUCUGGAGUGGCUUAUGGGAUGCGGACCCCUCCUUGUCCGCCCCUCCUUAACCAUACCAGGUCCAUUUCUAAUGGCAUUGCUUUUCCCCUACAUUAUUUUCAAUAGGAUAUUUUGGUUCUUCUGUGGAAUACUAUGGUAAAAAUGAAAAGAAAAUUUUUCUUAUUCCAGUAAGGACAAAUGGGGACAAGUCAGGAGCCUCAGAAAAUCUCAAUAGGAGAGAAACUCCAGUUUUCAAUUCCUGGAUGCCUAUCUGAGAUUUCAGCUCUUGCCUCACAUAGUUACAAGGAGGAAUGCUUUGUGGGGACACCAAUCUGAGCUAAGGCCUCUUGGAAGCACAUGGCCCGAUGGAGGAGGGACUGCGAGCUGCGGCUGGGAAUUGCUGACAUGAAUUACUGCUGCGUAUUCCAAAAGUCCGCUGAACCAAUGGGGAGCCAGGCGCUGGAGAGAGGGUCUGUCGUCUUCCUCACAACGUUUCUAAAUCUACAGAUGGCGAUGAGGAAGUGGUGCGCUUAUUUUUCAUAUUUUCUGAUAAGGUGCCAACAGAACUGACUUGCCAUUUUAAUGUAUGUCAUCUUUCCUGCAGUCACUGAGUGGCCUCGGACGGCUGUGGUUGAUCACUGGGGGCGAGCUGGACCCUCGCCCUUGAACAAAGUGCAGGGCCAGCGUCCUGGAGCCCGACUUCCUUACAUUAACCACCCUUGGGAGGGCUGACCCCAGGGCAGUGGAGGGUUCUGCAGCACCCUUCUGAGGUGGGGAGGCGCUGGCACCCAGCCAGCUUCCAAGGUGGACCCCUGCUGGAGGGAUGGAGAACAGGAAAGAAGAGGCUUGGAACAGACAGAAUUCUCACCCCGAGGCACACAGGCGAACCUGGCUUGCAUCCGUAGAACUCCCUGCCAAUCAGAGCUUGACUCCCCUCUCUUCUCCACCAAUCAAAGCUUGCACCACCUCCCCACCAGUUAAGGCCUUGCACACUGCAAGCUCCCCUACCAAUCAGAGACAGGCUCCCCUCUCCUCUCCACCAGUCAGGGCUUGUGCUACCUCAAACUCAAUUCCUCUGCCAAUCGGAGCCAAGCUACCCACAGCUGCAGAUAAAGAAAGAAUGGCCUUGUCAUCGAAGCCUGCAUGCAUUCACUGCGUCCUCCAGCUUGGUCGUAAAUCUCUUCGUGGAAACCUGGGCCUGCGGGUCUUUGUUGCUGUGUUCUUGUUGUUUAGAGGAGAGAGGAGGAGAAGAGUGAAGAGAGGGGAGAGCAGGGCAGGAUUAAUGGAGCGCCCUCCACACAGCUGACCACUUCAUUGGUCAAUAAGGGUCUGAAACAUCACAGGAAUAAACUGAAAACAUGCGGCUUUAACUCAGAUGUUCGUGGGACUCCUGACAUUGCAGGUAAAGAAAAUUGUUCCUAGUCUCAUUCAGUGAGUGGAAUUUAUUUCCCUUUGAAAUGCAAAUUUCUUAUUUAAAAAAGUCAGUCUGGUGUAGUUCUCCAUUCAAAGGCCCCAAGUCAUUGCCUAAUAAUAUUCUUGUGCAAAUGGAGUUUUAUUUUGGGAGAGCUUGAUCAGGACAAGGGGAGAACCAUGUAUAGGUUACAAACAUAAAGAAAAAAAAUUAAGGAAAUAAGUCUUACAGCUGCUUUGACCUCCGGGACCUCUGUCCAGGCUGACAUCUGCACAUGUGAAGAAUUAAGGGAUUUAGUGGAUGGUCAUCAAAAGCCAAUAGUGAUAUAUGACUCCUUAUGCUAAUGACACAAUUCAGGCUGCAUUAAUAAAAAUUUACUUUAUAAAACCAGAAUUGUGUGGUGAACACAUUGAUGUGCUGCCAGAACCCCCUGCAAGGAAGGACUUGGCCUCAGCUGCUGGGGGUGCUAUGGCGAGAUUACUGGGACCUGGUUCCUGUUCCGGUUAGGGUAUAGUAAUUCCUGGGGAUAGUCACUCAAGAUAGCUCUGUGAGUUUGCUUCAUCAAUAAGCUCUGCGGUAAGCUCACGUUGUUUUUCCUCAAAUAAGAGGUUCCAAAGACUAGACCUUGGCUGAGGGCUUGCUCUCCUGCAUACAGGUUAUAGGCUGCAUGAAUUGCCUCAGCUUCUGACAGCUGCAUCUCAAGACGACACCCCUACCCAGAGCAGCCCACAUCCAAUGAUGGAUCAAGCCAGGGUAUGGAGACUUGGCCAUCUCAGCCCAAAUUAGGACCACUCUGGAAAGGCUUCUGGCUCCAGAGAUCCCUAUGGGUUGGCCAAAGCUGUACGUGAGCUGUGCCGCAGCUCCACUUUUCCCUCUGCCCACGUUUGCUUUGGGCGCCUCUCUUCCACAAGUGUUGGUCUCAAGGACACUGCUGUAUAAACAUCCUGCACGCUAAACGCCACUUCAGAGUCCACUUUCCAGGGAACCCAGCCUACAGAGAAAUGGUGCCAGUUCUCUGCUCUGUGCUAGUUAUACCACACUUGCAGAGCUGCCUUCAGAGUUUGGGUAGAGAUUCUGUUCAAUCUACAAAGCUUUCUAUUAGACAAAGCUGCCUGAAAUGACAUAGGCAUCCUGUGAAGGGGAGGAGAUCCUCAAAGAGGAGAUGUUCAAAGAAAAACAGACUAUUGGAAAGAUGAGGGAUGUGCAAAGGGGUGAAAUCAAGAAUGCUAAGGGUGGAUGGGCUGGAUGUCCUCCAGGGUCCCUUCCUGCAUCAAGACCUUAUUAUCUGUAUUAGUUUGCUAGAGUUGCCAUAACAAGAUACCACAGCCUAGGUGGUUUAAACAACAGAAAUGUAUUUUCUCACAGUUCUGGAUGUGAGAAGUCCAAGAUCAAGGUCUCAGCAGCUUUGGUUUCUUCUGAGGCCUCUCUCCUAAGUUUGCAGAUGACUGCUUUUCUUCCUGUCUUCAGAUAGUCGUCCCUCUGUGUCUGUUUGUGUCCUAAUUUCCUCUUCUUAUAAGGACACUACUCAUAAUGGAUUAGAGCCCACCCAUAUGACCUCCUUUUACCUUAAUUACCUCUUUAAAGGCCCCAUCUCCAAAUACAGUCACAUUCUGAGGUGCUGGGAGUUAGGACUUCAACAUACGAAUUUUGAGGGGGCCACAAUUCCGCACAUAACAGUAUCCCAAGGUUUUAUUGUGUCCCAGAUGUAUAGCACUGUUUAGCACACGUUCAGCCCAGUGUUAUUAUAAAAGAUCAAAUUCAGUAUUUAACUACAGAAGCCAGAGUUAGCCAAGGUUAUGUUUGAAGGAGCAAUCAUACAGUUACAGAUUUUUAACUGCCAAGUAAGUACCCAGUUAGUGGCCUCUUAAAAUAGUGCUGUCUUCCUGAGUCUAGUAGCUAUGAAUAUCAUUAUAUGCACUCAACUUAAUCCAGGUAAUCCUAAUGUUGGCCAGGGUAGUCAGAGCACACACACAUAUUUACACAAAGGUGUGUUCACACACAAACAUGGACUCCAUACCCAAGAGACAAAGGGGGUUUCUAGAGAUAAUGGGAUAACUGAGUUUUCUGGGGAUACUAUCCGAGUACAGAAAGAAAAAGGUUACUACAGAAAGAAAAGAAACUUUACCUCUUGUAUUCACUGAGUAUUCAUUUAUUCAUCCAUUCAAACAAUAUCCAUUUGAGUUCCAAUUUACAUGGAAAACAUUGUGCUAAUGGAUUUGGGAAAAACCACCUUGUAAAAAUCAAAAUCCCACCCCCAGAGGAAAGCUUUGGUAAGACAAGCUGUGCUGCAGUAAUGACGAUGCCAUAAAGCGUGGGCUUUUUGUCCUCACAAGGACUGGGCUCAAGGUCCAGCUCCAUCCUGUGUCAGCUGGGUGACCUUUGGCAAGUCACUCAACCUCUCUAAGUGUCAGUUUCCUCAUUUGUGCAGUGAGGGUAAUCAUGACACUUACCCUCCAGUUAGAUUGCAGCCCUUAAGCAGCCUCCUAUGUAGAAAUCCUUGAGUUGGCUCAUACACUGUGAAAAUUAAAAGAGGCUGUGCAUGCAACAUGCUUUCUCAGGCACAUGCCCAGUAAAUGCUAAUCAGUAAGUAUCAUAAAGGUAGAGUGACCAAGUCAUCCCGCCUCCCACCCCCUACUUUCCGGAACACCCCUUAGUGCCAGACAAACCUACUAAGGAUGUCAAAGGAUGUUAUGUGUAAGUGACGUGAGGAUUCAGAGGGAGAAAGUGCCAGUUUUAAUUUGUUUAAGAAUGAGGAAUGGCUUUGUGAAAGGUAAAAGAUUUAAUCUGGUCCCUGAAGCAUGGCAAAUCCAAGCGGAAAGAAUGACAUAGACAAAGAAAUGCAGAUCAGGAAGAGUAAGGCAUAUUUAUAUAAUGGGUAAGUGCCCCCCAUCAGGAUGGAAAGUGGGAAUCUUUGCUGGGGUGCAGUGGAAGUUAAGGUAAGGAGGGAAGAUUGGAGCUAAAAUCCAAAGCAUUCAUAUUAGAUAGGCUGAGGAGGUUGAAGUUGGUACUCUGCAGCAGUGAGGAGCUACUGAAAAGUUUUAAGCUGAUCAGGGAGAUGAUCAGAAGUGCUUGAAGGAGAUGGCUCAGGUAACAGCCUUCAGUAACCCUUGGGAGUGUGGGCUGAAGUGGAGCAGGGAGAGGUUAGGGGAAGGAGGCCAGUACAGAAGAGGCUGAUGAAAUUGUCCAGAGGAGAGAGGAUGAGGACCCGAGCUCAGGCAGUGGCCUUGAGGCCGGCAAGAGGGCUGCAGAUGAGCAGACACAGCAGGAAGAUGUUCCCCUGUGGGGUUUGGCAGACAAUUGGCAGCAGAGACCAAGAGCAGAAAACGAAUCAAAUAUAUCCUGGCCACUGUGCCGCAAACAGAAGUAGAGAGACGAGGAAGAGGGCAACUUUGAAGAAUCUGACAUCAGAGUUGUUGACAGGAAUUGUUGAGGUGGCCAGACACCUGGAAGGAGGGUUGUUCAGCAGAUGUGGAAAUUGUCAGGUCUCAGGAUUGGGUCCCUGGCUAGAGAUAUGGACUUGGGAGCCAGUCCCAGAGAUGUGGGCCCCACAGUGGGACAGAGGUGGAGACUGCUGUGGGGGAGGGCACGGGGGUGUAUGUAGUCAGAGCAGGGAUGUAGAGGGUGAAGGAAAAGCCAGAGACUGAAGAGAGGACACACGCUUAUCAUUCAUUCACCCACACAGAUGUGGGGUGUAUUGAAGUCUGCCUUAACAGUCCCGAAGCUCAAGCUCACUGUGGGAGGCUGACGGUGGAGAGCCCACUAGAGGGCCGUGGGGGCCCAGGGCAGGAUGUCUACGCUCAGGGCUCCAGGCCACGUGGAGCAGAGAGCCUCAAGAGGUCAACAAAUAAAACAAAUCAAGAGACAAGGAGAACCAGCACUGAAAAAGAGUUUUCGAUUAAGGAGACUGUGAGAUUAGAAGUCAGAUUACAAGAGAUAAAGAAAAAAACAGUUGGUGGAAAUAUAGGGACAAAAGUAGAUUAGCAGCUAUUUUUUAAAAUGAUAAUAUCCACUUUGGGCAGGAGGUCGUGAGGGGGUGCUCAGAAAGGCAAACACGCAGCUGGGGGAAGAUGAAGUUGUGCAAAUCUUCUGGGUAAUAAUUUGAUAAAAUAUCAAAAGACUUAAAAAUGUUCAUAUACCCCUGACCUGGUAAUGAUACUUCUAGGAAUUUAUUCCAAUGAAUAAUGAAAUAUUUAUGAUAUUUAUGAUGGUGGAAAGUAGAAAACAUUAAAUAUCUAAUAAAGAUUGGUUAAAUACAACCAUUUAGAGAGAAUACUAU
RNAcentral lists this long non-coding RNA (5701 nucleotides) under Equus caballus (horse). Its description in RNAcentral is "lncRNA (ENSECAG00000049679.1)". Lineage: Eukaryota; Metazoa; Chordata; Mammalia; Perissodactyla; Equidae. The record is from RNAcentral.